GCAGUGGUGGUUCAGUGGUGGAGCUCUUGUCUUCCAUGCGGGAGACUCUGGUUCAAUUCCCAGCCAAUGUA
RNAcentral lists this transfer RNA (71 nucleotides) under Loxodonta africana (African savanna elephant). It matches the Rfam family "tRNA". From Rfam's summary of the family: Transfer RNA (tRNA) molecules are approximately 80 nucleotides in length. Their secondary structure includes four short double-helical elements and three loops (D, anti-codon, and T loops). Further hydrogen bonds mediate the characteristic L-shaped molecular structure. tRNAs have two regions of fundamental functional importance: the anti-codon, which is responsible for specific mRNA codon recognition, and the 3' end, to which the tRNAs corresponding amino acid is attached (by aminoacyl-tRNA synthetases). tRNAs cope with the degeneracy of the genetic code in two manners: having more than one tRNA (with a specific anti-codon) for a particular amino acid; and 'wobble' base-pairing, i.e. permitting non-standard base-pairing at the 3rd anti-codon position. The record is from Rfam by way of RNAcentral. Lineage: Eukaryota; Metazoa; Chordata; Mammalia; Proboscidea; Elephantidae.